This 463-nucleotide ribosomal RNA is filed under the name uncultured bacterium. RNAcentral describes it as "partial 16S ribosomal RNA". It matches the Rfam family "Bacterial small subunit ribosomal RNA", at positions 28 to 507 of the family's 1533-position model. The record is from RNAcentral.
GACGAACGCUGGCGGCGUGCUUAACACAUGCAAGUCGAACGGAAAGGCCUUUUCGGAGGUACUCGAGUGGCGAACGGGUGAGUAACACGUGGGUGAUCUGCCCUGCACUCUGGGAUAAGCCUGGGAAACUGGGUCUAAUACCGGAUAGGACCGCACUUUAGUGUGUGUGGUGGAAAGUUUUUUCGGUGUAGGAUGAGCCCGCGGCCUAUCAGCUUGUUGGUGGGGUAAUGGCCUACCAAGGCGGCGACGGGUAGCCGGACUGAGAGGUUGGUCGGCCACAUUGGGACUGAGAUACGGCCCAGACUCCUACGGGAGGCAGCAGUGGGGAAUCUUGCACAAUGGGCGCAAGCCUGAUGCAGCGACGCCGCGUGGGGGAUGACGGCCUUCGGGUUGUAAACUCCUUUCGCCAGGGACGAAGCGUUUUGUGACGGUACCUGGAGAAGAAGCACCGGCUAACUACGUG